UGUGCCAGAACAUGGAUGCUGACUGGAUUUGCAGGUCUGAUGUUUCAUUUCUGUCUCUUCAGCCAAGGCAGAUCAAUGUUCACAAGGGAUUUACAGGCGUGCCAGCUGCUGCCAACAAACCCCGGUGCUCUGGGACUCAAACAGCACUAAGGAGUCGCCCUGCUGAGUGCCACAGCAUCUGCAGCUGCCUCAGGUCGUGCUGCUGUUGUGCAUCUGAGUGCCAGUGCUAGAAAUGAAAAGGUUCAAAGAAUUGUGACACCAAGGAAAGGCCCAAAGCUGCACUCUGCUCCUGACAGUUUCUCUUCACAGCACCAUUUUCCUCUGAGCAUGUUCCAGUGUCUCUGCACUCCCUGCCCACUGCAGCAGCUGGGGCCAGCCAAAGCAGGCUCGCCUAGCCUGGUGUUCCUGCUGGGAGCUUCUCACAGCACGAGCAACCUCCUCUCCCGCACAUCACAGGUGUUCUCCACAUGAUGGGAGCAGGUGAGAGCACAGCUUUGCCAAACCAUGAUGAAGUUUGGUAGCUGAAACCCAAAAUCCGUGUUUGGCCUGAGAUCUGAAUCUGGCUCUCUGCUCCAUCCUCUGCUCCGAGCCAAAUCAAACUGCAGCUCGUCAUGAAAAGCAAACAGCACCGUGCUCUGAUCGUGUAAGAUCUGCAUCCAGCUCCAAACUCCGAGAGGAACCUUCUCCCUGGGUGUGUGUGUGGCACAGUGCUGCCAAUGCCUGGCAUGAUUCAGCAUUGCCUGUGGUUCCCUUGUUCCCUGCAUCCCUUCCCAGCAAAGACACGGCGUGGCAGAGCCCUGACCCCAGGUGUUGGCUCCCCUCUGCAAUCGUGCCUGAUUGAGCAUUACCAGGAAAUGCAGAAAUGUGGAGCCAGACUGGUACUGAGCAGUACAAGACUGAAGAUCUUUCUGUUAGUGGGUCUCACUCAGCACCAUCAGCUGAUAUCGCUUAAAGAGGUGCCGAUUCGCUGCAAAGCACAGGUGGAGAUAAAAAGGCUUUCUCUGGGAGCCAAGCAGCACGGAGGAGCUGGAGCCUUGGCAGGAGCAGGAGGUGCCCCAAGCAGCUCUGCAAGGAGUGAGUGCCCUCACUGCUCUGUCACCAGCAGUCCCUGGGAGCCAUCAGCACCCACCAGCCAUUCCCUGAGAUAA
RNAcentral lists this long non-coding RNA (1148 nucleotides) under Junco hyemalis (dark-eyed junco). RNAcentral's name for it is "lncRNA (ENSJHYG00000000294.1)". Lineage: Eukaryota; Metazoa; Chordata; Aves; Passeriformes; Passerellidae. The record is from RNAcentral.